GAAGUAAAUUUUUUUUUUAAGAAAAAAAAAAACAAAGGAAAAUUCUGUAGGAAACCCAAGAAACGAACUAUGCAGCUGGGGAGAGAGUGUUGAAGAAGUCUGGCAAAGUGCAGAAGUGGGAAAGGGACGAGUAAGAUGAGCUGUGGCUUAACUUUGCAUUAGCAUAAAUUAAUCAAAUUAAAACAGCAUAAUUUAGCAGACAACUGAUUGUAAUAAAACAAAUUAAAAUUUUUAGUUUAAUAUUUGUUUGAUGAACCAUCUUCACCAAAAUUA
RNAcentral lists this unclassified non-coding RNA (273 nucleotides) under Hevea brasiliensis (rubber tree). Lineage: Eukaryota; Viridiplantae; Streptophyta; Magnoliopsida; Malpighiales; Euphorbiaceae. The record is from RNAcentral.